UGGGGGAUAUUGCACAAUGGGCGAAAGCCUGAUGCAGCGACGCCGCGUGGGGGAUGAAGGCCUUCGGGUUGUAAACUUCUUUUGCUCUGAACAAGGCAUGCUAAUGGGUGUGUUGAGUGUAGGGGUUGAUUAGCGCCGGCUAACUACGUGCCAGCAGCCGCGGUAAUACGUAGGGCGCGAGCGUUGUCCGGAAUUAUUGGGCGUAAAGGGCUUGUAGGUGGCUGGUUGCGUCUGUCGUGAAAGCUCAUGGCUUAACGGUGGGUUUGCGGGGGGUACGGGCUGGCUUGAGUGCAGUAGGGGAGGCUGGAAUUCCUGGUGUAGCGGUGGAAUGCGCAGAUAUCAGGAGGAAUACCGGUGGCGAAGGCGGGUCUCUGGGCUGUUACUGACACUGAGGAGCGAAAGCAUGGGGAGCGAACAGG
Molecule: ribosomal RNA, 419 nt
Filed under: bacterium
Lineage: Bacteria
Description: partial 16S ribosomal RNA
Rfam family: Bacterial small subunit ribosomal RNA
Source: RNAcentral